AUGUGUUGUCCAUGCCCUACAUGUGGGAAUACGAAGUCUUACUCUGACCGGAAAAUCCUUCACACCCACCAGCUUUACAAGGGUUUCAUGCCACACUAUAAUGUUUGGACGAGGCACGGAGAAAUAGGGGUUAUGAUGGAAGACGUCGAAGAAGAAGAGGACGAUGACAACUAUGUGCCCCCUGAAUACGGUGAUGCUGCAACGGGGGAAGCUGCUGAAGAUCAAGAGGAAACAGACCAUGUGCCUAAUGAUGCUGCAAUGGGGGAAGCUGCUGAAGAUCAAGAGGAACCAGUGCCCGAUGAUGAUAAU
RNAcentral lists this ribosomal RNA (309 nucleotides) under Triticum aestivum (bread wheat). RNAcentral's name for it is "partial small subunit ribosomal RNA". Lineage: Eukaryota; Viridiplantae; Streptophyta; Magnoliopsida; Poales; Poaceae. The record is from RNAcentral.